Molecule: long non-coding RNA, 2625 nt
Filed under: Nicotiana benthamiana
Lineage: Eukaryota; Viridiplantae; Streptophyta; Magnoliopsida; Solanales; Solanaceae
Description: long non-coding RNA (NBEN_LNC004207)
Source: RNAcentral
AAAAUAUGACCACAAACACUUAUGCUUCUUCCUUUGGUUUCUGAUAUUUAGCUUCCAAAAGAUAGAAUAUGAUUGAGUCGAAUCCAGUUUGACUUUUUGUUGAAGUUCGGCGUCGGAUUUUUUUUUAGCUACCGUUCGCGAGUUACGAUUGUGGUUCAUGUUCAUUUUUGUUGUUGUUUGGAUUCUGAAGGAAAAAUAUUGCAUUCCUCGAUUAUUUUCUUGGUAUUAAAGACAAUCUUGGGUUAGCAGGUUCAAUUUCUUUUUUUUCUUCUACUUCUUCUUUUCCUUCAUUAAAUCAUAUUUGGAAUAAAUCUAGUCUUAGAAGAGCCAUUAAAGAUGGAUUAAGGUUACAAUAAUUGUUGAGAUUUGUUUAUUUUCCUUAGAAUUUGGUUCACUAUUUUCAGCAUCUCAUAUAUUUAUCUAUGGAUUUAUUUUAGGAUUGAGUGAACUUAUUUUGCACUGGAUUUGUAUUUAGUUUGGUUUUUAGUCAAACAGGGAGUGGAUAUCCAUAUGAUUCUUUAUUAUUUUAAAAUUAUUGAAAAAAUAAUAUUUUCCAUGCGUUUACUUAUUUUUCUUAGGGAAAAGGGUCAGAACUGCCCUUAACGUGUUGACUCCAGGUUAAAAAUGCCCUACGUUAACCUAUUUUGAAGAAAAUGCCCCUACCGAUAAAAAUGUGGCAUAUUUGUGCCCCUAAGUCUAACAACUGACUGUACUUAUAUUUAAAACGGUAGGGGCAUUUUUUUCAAAAUAGGUUAACGGUAGUGGNNNNNNNNNNNNNNNNNNNNNNNNNNNNNNNNNNNNNNNNNNNNNNNNNNNNNNNNNNNNNCAUUUUUUUCAAAAUAGGUUAACGGUAGGGGCAUUUUUAAACUGGAGUCAAUACGUUAGGGGCACAAAUAUGCCACAUUUUUAACGGUAGGGGCAUCUUCUUCAAAAUAGGUUAACGGAGGGCAUUUUUAACCUGGAGUCAAUACGUUAGGGGCAGUUCUGACCCUUUUCCGUUUUUCUUAUGGUUGGAACAUGGAUUAUAUGAGCUAAAAGUCCUCCUCAAUCGUCCUUUUACUUGCGGAUUCAACAUAUUUGCUGUAAAGUUAAUUUAUCACUAUUUUGCUUUUACUAAUCUAUUAAAGUUGAUGUGGAUUUGGCUUUAGAUUACUAUUAGAGCUGAAUUCUCUUUAUUUUUAGCAAUAAUAAAUUUAGCAUCUCAGUAACCUAAGGAGCUAUUGUCAUCACGUUUGGAUGCUUGGCAUGUUUGUUAAAAUGAGUUUCUUUAUUAAUUUGCAUAUUUUAGUAUAGUAUCCAUAAGAAUGUGAGCCUGAGUUUGGUUUGUGAGAGGUAUUAAAAUCAUCUGUAGUAAAUUGAAACUGGAGGUAAUUGGAUGUUCGAAUUUUUGCAAAUUUUUAGUCGGGUUUCGAGACAUGGGCUUGGGUUGAAUUAUUAUUAUUUCUUCGGAAAGAUCAUAAUUUUAUUGCUCAAAUUAAUUUCUUGUAGUUGUGUUUAUAGUAUGAAAUUAUUUUGGCUAGAUUCGAGUCGUCCAGAAUUGGAUAAUCGAGGGAAAGGCCUACUGGUGGAUUGAGUUGCGUGACUUGAGGUAAGUGGCUUGUCUAACCUAGUGUGGGGGACUUUGUCCUUAGAAUAUGAUAUUUGGUAAUUGAAUGCCUUGUACGUGAGGUGACGAGCGCGUACCUGAGCUAAUUGUUGAUAACCCGAAUUUUUCUUCAAAUAGUUGAAUUGAGUUUCUUUCGUAUUUGCUUUAUUCUACUUGCUAUUAUAGUCUGUGCUAGUGUAGAAAAGCAUGAUUAGUUGAUCGAAAUUGCCUAUUUGCUUAAAUUGCCUUAAUUAUGUGAAGCAUAUUAGGCUAGAAUUAUUUGUGGCUUUGUAUUGUCGAACUUCAAGUUUUGAAUAUUUCUCUGAUUUUGGUUGUGAUUUAAACCCAAAAUUUUCUUAAAAUACUUAAAUUGAGUUUCUUUCGUAUUUGCUUUAUUCUACUUGCCAGUAUAGCAUGUGCUAGUAUAGAAAAGCAUGAUUAGUUGAUCCAAAUUGCCUAUUUGCUUAAAUUGCCUUAAUUCUAAUUAUGUGAAGAAUGUUAGACUAGAAUUAUUUGUGGCUUUGUAUUAUUGAACUUCAAUUUCUGAAUAUUUCUCUGAUUUUGGUUGCGCAUUUAUAUUUGAGACUAUGGAUGUGGGAUUCCGGUAGCUCCCUCCCUUGUUUGUUUAUUUUGGGAUUGCGGAUUCGAUUCCCGAUAGAUCCCCCUGCACAUUUAUUUUGGGACUACGGGUUAGAUUUCCGGUAGAUCACCCUGCACAUUGAUGGUUGGACUACGGGGCGGUAUCCCGGGAGAUCCUUCAGAUAUAUUCAUACGGUGGACUACGGAACAGUAUCCCGGGAGCUCCUCGUACAAAUUGAUAAACUGGACUACAGGACGGUAUCCUGGGAGAUCCUCAUUAUUGGUGCUGGUAUUGAGUUGUUUACUCUAUGUUAACUAAUUUUUUCUGAAUAUUAAUUGAUGUUUGUGUAAUCAUAUUUAAUUCAUAAUUGUAUAUCAUUAUUUCUGCUUAUUUCAUACUGUUGUCAGUCUCAUUAUCAUAUUUUGUCUCAGUAGGACCCUGACCUUCCUCGUCACUACCC